Molecule: long non-coding RNA, 1108 nt
Filed under: Vitis vinifera (wine grape)
Lineage: Eukaryota; Viridiplantae; Streptophyta; Magnoliopsida; Vitales; Vitaceae
Description: long non-coding RNA (VVIN_LNC003133)
Source: RNAcentral
GUAUAUGGCAGUGCUGGUUUGACAUCACAAUGGGAACCUGCAGAACCGACCUUUCAUUCCUUUCCAAUUAAAUGGCUGCUGACUGUUUGACUGUUGAGCCUUAGGCUUAAGAGUCCUAAGAUGGAGGCAAGGCAACUCAUCCCCUCAAAUAAAGAGAAAAAAUGAAAAAUGGGUUGCUUUCAUCCUCUAAUUUGUGGUAUUUUUACCUCCAUUUUCCUUUUUCUGUUUUGGAUUUUUUGGAGGGGAGAGCAGGGGUGUAAUUUAGGGAGGUUGAUGUGAUCCAAUUCGAAUCUAACCCUACAUUUAGACUAUCUUAAAUAAUCAUAGAUAAUCAUUUUAAAUACUCAAAUUGAGUUUUAAUUAAGUUUUUUCAAAUCGAAAUCAAUUUGGGGUGGACUCGGGUUUAGAUUCAAACAACUUGAGUCUAACCCGAAUUCAAUUUAAUAUUUUAAAAUUAUAUAUAAUGCAUAUUAUUUUAUAUAAUGAUAAUUUUUUUUUUUUUAAAAAAACAUCAAAUUAUAUUAUAUUAUAUUAUAUGACUGGCAGUUGGAUAGACCAAUUUGAUGAUGGCAAGUCAGCCAAUGCAUCUUGCUUGGCCACACAUGGCCCUUGAGAAAAAUAAAACUACCAAUUUAAAAAGUGUGACAGCUACGUAAUUGGGUAAUGUUAGUGUUGUUGCUUGAUUGUUUCCAGGGAAAAUUCCAGAAAGUUUAUAAAUAAAGAACAUAUUAAUUACUUGAUACUGAGGUAGACUAUAGAAGCUUCUUGGAAGCAGACUGGCCUCCAGAGAUUUCUUAGGUGUUCGACAUACUUCUCCCUACUUUUUCAAGUCAUAGAAAGCGUGUAUAUGGCAGUGCUGGUUUGACAUCACAAUGGGAACCUGCAGAACCGACCUAUUAUUGCUUUCCAAUUAAAUGGCUGCUGACUGGUUGACUGUUGAGUCUUAAGCUUAAGAGUCCAAAGAUGGAGGCAAGACAACUCAUCCCCUCAAAUAAAGAGACAAAAAAGAAAAAUGGGUUGCUUUCAUCCUCUAAUUUGUGGUAUUUUUACCUCCAUUUUCCUUGUUUUGGAUUCUUGGGAGGGGAGAGCAGGGAGUAAUUUAGACAGG